Molecule: long non-coding RNA, 431 nt
Organism: Homalodisca vitripennis (glassy-winged sharpshooter)
Lineage: Eukaryota; Metazoa; Arthropoda; Insecta; Hemiptera; Cicadellidae
Exons: 2
Source: RefSeq, a predicted model, not a curated record
UAGCCAUUCAGUCACGUGACUUCGUUAUUUAAUCAUCAAAUGUUGCUAGUUAGUUGUGGAGAGGAUUUUUAUGAAUACAGUACUCUGUGACAGAUGGACCUGACAAGCUCUCCAGUGCCGACUAUUGUGUUUAUAGCGCUGUUCGUACUGCUCUGUUCCUACAGUCCCACGCUCUGGUAUCACGCCUCCAAUUGGCUCCGCAGAGCAGCUGCCUCCAGGGUCUUCUCACAGUCUAACACGUCUUGAUAGUGAGAUGUCUUCUUUUUCGUUAUUUCAAACAAAAGUCAUAAUUUUGUAAAAUAACAAACUGCAAUUCUUCAAUAAUACAAAUAUUAAAUUGUUAGUCUUCUACAUAGAUAGUUGAUAACGAAUGUACAAUUUGUUUCUUAUUAGCAAUAAUGCUAUAGAAUUAAAUACUAUCUCACCAGAAA